RNAcentral lists this ribosomal RNA (1534 nucleotides) under Bacteroides ovatus. RNAcentral's name for it is "bacterial SSU rRNA". It matches the Rfam family "Bacterial small subunit ribosomal RNA". Lineage: Bacteria; Pseudomonadati; Bacteroidota; Bacteroidia; Bacteroidales; Bacteroidaceae. The record is from RNAcentral.
CUUUUACAAUGAAGAGUUUGAUCCUGGCUCAGGAUGAACGCUAGCUACAGGCUUAACACAUGCAAGUCGAGGGGCAGCAUUUUAGUUUGCUUGCAAACUGAAGAUGGCGACCGGCGCACGGGUGAGUAACACGUAUCCAACCUGCCGAUAACUCCGGAAUAGCCUUUCGAAAGAAAGAUUAAUACCGGAUAGCAUACGAAUAUCGCAUGAUAUUUUUAUUAAAGAAUUUCGGUUAUCGAUGGGGAUGCGUUCCAUUAGUUUGUUGGCGGGGUAACGGCCCACCAAGACUACGAUGGAUAGGGGUUCUGAGAGGAAGGUCCCCCACAUUGGAACUGAGACACGGUCCAAACUCCUACGGGAGGCAGCAGUGAGGAAUAUUGGUCAAUGGGCGAGAGCCUGAACCAGCCAAGUAGCGUGAAGGAUGAAGGCUCUAUGGGUCGUAAACUUCUUUUAUAUGGGAAUAAAGUUUUCCACGUGUGGAAUUUUGUAUGUACCAUAUGAAUAAGGAUCGGCUAACUCCGUGCCAGCAGCCGCGGUAAUACGGAGGAUCCGAGCGUUAUCCGGAUUUAUUGGGUUUAAAGGGAGCGUAGGUGGAUUGUUAAGUCAGUUGUGAAAGUUUGCGGCUCAACCGUAAAAUUGCAGUUGAAACUGGCAGUCUUGAGUACAGUAGAGGUGGGCGGAAUUCGUGGUGUAGCGGUGAAAUGCUUAGAUAUCACGAAGAACUCCGAUUGCGAAGGCAGCUCACUAGACUGUCACUGACACUGAUGCUCGAAAGUGUGGGUAUCAAACAGGAUUAGAUACCCUGGUAGUCCACACAGUAAACGAUGAAUACUCGCUGUUUGCGAUAUACAGUAAGCGGCCAAGCGAAAGCAUUAAGUAUUCCACCUGGGGAGUACGCCGGCAACGGUGAAACUCAAAGGAAUUGACGGGGCCCGCACAAGCGGAGGAACAUGUGGUUUAAUUCGAUGAUACGCGAGGAACCUUACCCGGGCUUAAAUUGCAACAGAAUAUAUUGGAAACAGUAUAGCCGUAAGGCUGUUGUGAAGGUGCUGCAUGGUUGUCGUCAGCUCGUGCCGUGAGGUGUCGGCUUAAGUGCCAUAACGAGCGCAACCCUUAUCUUUAGUUACUAACAGGUUAUGCUGAGGACUCUAGAGAGACUGCCGUCGUAAGAUGUGAGGAAGGUGGGGAUGACGUCAAAUCAGCACGGCCCUUACGUCCGGGGCUACACACGUGUUACAAUGGGGGGUACAGAAGGCGGCUACCUGGUGACAGGAUGCUAAUCCCAAAAACCUCUCUCAGUUCGGAUCGAAGUCUGCAACCCGACUUCGUGAAGCUGGAUUCGCUAGUAAUCGCGCAUCAGCCAUGGCGCGGUGAAUACGUUCCCGGGCCUUGUACACACCGCCCGUCAAGCCAUGAAAGCCGGGGGUACCGAAGUACGUAACCGCAAGGAGCGUCCUAGGGUAAAACUGGUAAUUGGGGCUAAGUCGUAACAAGGUAGCCGUACCGGAAGGUGCGGCUGGAACACCUCCUUUCU